This 515-nucleotide long non-coding RNA is filed under the name Gossypium barbadense (sea-island cotton). Its description in RNAcentral is "long non-coding RNA (GBAR_LNC020303)". Lineage: Eukaryota; Viridiplantae; Streptophyta; Magnoliopsida; Malvales; Malvaceae. The record is from RNAcentral.
UGGAGAACUACAAUUACAUCAACAAUUAGAACAUUCAAACACUUCAAACUCAAAACCCAACAAAAACAUAUCAAUCACACACAGCAAACCCAAAUCAAACACAUCUAUAUGAGCACAUUUGCUCAAUUUUUAACAAUCUCAAAUAUGUUUCUAAUGUCUUACCUUGUAAACAUACAAUUUUGUCUAAUACCUUACCUGAUAAAUACUUUUACUACAUAUGAUGCAUGUAAAGUUCUUGCUUUUAUUUAGCAGUGCAGGUUAAGGAUGGUUUUUAAGGAGGUUUGCAGAAACCCGGUCUAUUGGUUCCCGGUGGAACAUCACAGCCUACAGGAGGAAGAUCACGAGCAGCUUCAAGAGGCCAAAUUUGCAUAAAAAUCGGGAGUAAAACUACAGUGACGACUUUGCCAACGAGGAACAAAGCUUUCAUUCUUAAGGAUUGUUCAGGGAAUCAGUGACAAUAUAUACUUCGCUACUACAGCUGAUAUAAAUCUACCAAGGUUGGGAUUUUUGUAGGG